GGUUAGGGCCAUACCACCUGAAGCGGAAGAGUGUCGAUCUCGGCCGAUCUCGGAAGCUAAGCAGGGUCGGGCCUGGUUAGUACUUGGAUGGGAGACCGCCUGGGAAUACCAGGUGCUGUAAGCU
This 124-nucleotide ribosomal RNA is filed under the name Labrus bergylta (ballan wrasse). Lineage: Eukaryota; Metazoa; Chordata; Actinopteri; Labriformes; Labridae. The record is from RNAcentral.